AUUGAACGCUGGCGGCAUGCUUUACACAUGCAAGUCGAGCGGCAGCGCGGGCUUCGGCCUGGCGGCGAGUGGCGAACGGGUGAGUAAUGCAUCGGAACGUGCCCAGUAGUGGGGGAUAGCCCGGCGAAAGCCGGAUUAAUACCGCAUACGACCUGAGGGUGAAAGCGGGGGACCGAAAGGCCUCGCGCUAUUGGAGCGGCCGAUGUCGGAUUAGCUAGUUGGUGGGGCAAAGGCUUACCAAGGCGACGAUCCGUAGCUGGUCUGAGAGGACGACCAGCCACACUGGGACUGAGACACGGCCCAGACUCCUACGGGAGGCAGCAGUGGGGAAUUUUGGACAAUGGGGGCAACCCUGAUCCAGCCAUGCCGCGUGCGGGAAGAAGGCCUUCGGGUUGUAAACCGCUUUUGUUCGGGAAGAAAUCCUCUGGGCUAAUACCCCGGGGGGAUGACGGUACCGGAAGAAUAAGCACCGGCUAACUACGUG
RNAcentral lists this ribosomal RNA (484 nucleotides) under uncultured bacterium. RNAcentral's name for it is "partial 16S ribosomal RNA". It matches the Rfam family "Bacterial small subunit ribosomal RNA", at positions 28 to 507 of the family's 1533-position model. The record is from RNAcentral.